UACUGAAAGCUUUGACUAACAUUGGCGGA
This 29-nucleotide non-coding RNA is filed under the name Cricetulus griseus (Chinese hamster). The record is from RNAcentral. Lineage: Eukaryota; Metazoa; Chordata; Mammalia; Rodentia; Cricetidae.